GCAAGUCGUGCGAGAAGUAUCUUCGGAUAUGAGUAGAGCGGCGGACGGGUGAGUAACGCGUAGGAAUCUACCUAGUAGAAGGGGAUAGCCCGAGGAAACUCGGAUUAAUACCGUAUACCUCCUUAGGGAGAAAGAGGGCCUCUCUUGAAGCUCUCGCUAUUAGAUGAGCCUGCGUAAGAUUAGCUUGUUGGUGAGGUAAUGGCUCACCAAGGCUACGAUCUUUAGCUGGUCUGAGAGGACGAUCAGCCACAUUGGGACUGAGACACGGCCCAGACUCCUACGGGAGGCAGCAGUGGGGAAUAUUGGACAAUGGGCGCAAGCCUGAUCCAGCCAUACCGCGUGUGUGAAGAAGGCCCUAGGGUUGUAAAGCACUUUAAGCAGGGAGAAAAAGUUAUGAGUUAAUACCUCAUAACCUUGAUGUUACCUGCAGAAUAAGCACCGGCUAAUUCCGUGCCAGCAGCCGCGGUAAUACGGAAGGUGCAAGCGUUAAUCGGAAUUACUGGGCGUAAAGCGCGCGUAGGUGGUUUGUUAAGUUGGAUGUGAAAGCCCUGGGCUCAACCUAGGAACUGCAUCCAAAACUAACUCACUAGAGUACGAUAGAGGGAGGUAGAAUUCAUAGUGUAGCGGUGGAAUGCGUAGAUAUUAUGAAGAAUACCAGUGGCGAAGGCGGCCUCCUGGAUCUGUAC
Molecule: ribosomal RNA, 686 nt
Filed under: uncultured marine bacterium
Lineage: Bacteria
Description: bacterial SSU rRNA
Rfam family: Bacterial small subunit ribosomal RNA
Source: RNAcentral